RNAcentral lists this ribosomal RNA (116 nucleotides) under Bacillus velezensis. Lineage: Bacteria; Bacillati; Bacillota; Bacilli; Caryophanales; Bacillaceae. The record is from RNAcentral.
UUUGGUGGCGAUAGCGAAGAGGUCACACCCGUUCCCAUGCCGGACACGGAAGUUAAGCUCUUCAGCGCCGAUGGUAGUCGGGGGUUUCCCCCUGUGAGAGUAGGACGCCGCCAAGC